This is a long non-coding RNA of Chenopodium quinoa (quinoa), 945 nucleotides long. RefSeq lists it as uncharacterized. The record is from RefSeq and is a predicted model, not a curated record. The transcript has 3 exons. NCBI's taxonomy places the organism in Eukaryota, Viridiplantae, Streptophyta, Magnoliopsida, Caryophyllales, Amaranthaceae.
UCCACUUAACUAUUACUCCGUACUCCGUAGUAACAUUGAUUAUCAACUCAUAUCAAAUUUGGGCCAGAUUAAAUUUGGGUGUUGUGAGUCACUUAUAAAAUAUACUCUUAUUCAUUCAUUUAAACCUAAAAGAGUGGAGUACGAAAAAGAAAGUACAAAUUCAAAAAUAAAAAAUUAAAAAUGGAGGUUUUUUUUCUCCAAAAUAGAAAGAAAAUAUUCAGACAUUCUAUUCUAUCAAAUCACAUAAUCUAAUUUCGAUAAUAUUACUCCUAGUAGGGGUUGAGUAGAGUAGAGUCCCUAGAAAAUCCACCCAAUUUCAAAUUCAAACGGUCCAAUUCCUUUCUUACACUCUCCCUCCUUUCCUUUUACAGUUUAUCAUCUUCAUUUGCUGUUCUUACACUUUCAAUUUUCAUUUUUCAACCCUAAAACUCCUGUAAAAGAAGCAGAGAGAAAAAAGAGUGUUGAUUUGAAAAAGGAGAAAUCAGUAAUUUCAAAGAAGGAUUUGAAGCUUGCUUUAGUUGCAAAAAGACUGUCUAUGCUUCAAGAAUCAAGAUGAUCAUCAAACUGAAAUUCAACCUAUAUUAUCUCCAGAGAAUCAAAAGCAAAGUCAAAGGUAAAUAAAAGGCCCUAAAAUUUUUCAAUUUUAUCAAAUUUCAUAAGAGAACGCAUAAAUUAUGUAUACAAUGGGUGUAUUGUACAUUUUUGUAAUACAAGUUGGUAACUUUUUAUGUCAUUUGACCAUGACUUUUCUUGUUUUAUAAAAAAUUUACACACAAAUUUAACUUUUAUGUGAUUUGGCGCGACUUGUCUUAUUUUAUACAAGCCGGCUAGACAUAUCGAAAAAGUAAUUAAGCAAUAUAGAUAAGUUACUUUAUUAUGUUAUCAUAUGCAUAUCACUUGUUUAAUUUCACAAUGCUAACUAAGUCUUGUGUAAAUAAAUCUUAA